CGGCGGCCAUAGCGAGAGGGAAACGCCCGGUCACAUUCCGAACCCGGAAGCUAAGACUCUCUGCGCCGAUGGUACUGCAAGGGGGACCUUGUGGGAGAGUAGGACACCGCCGGACU
This 116-nucleotide ribosomal RNA is filed under the name Agreia sp. COWG. Lineage: Bacteria; Bacillati; Actinomycetota; Actinomycetes; Micrococcales; Microbacteriaceae. The record is from RNAcentral.